This 340-nucleotide long non-coding RNA is filed under the name Elaeis guineensis (African oil palm). RNAcentral describes it as "long non-coding RNA (EGUI_LNC077041)". The record is from RNAcentral. Lineage: Eukaryota; Viridiplantae; Streptophyta; Magnoliopsida; Arecales; Arecaceae.
UAGAGUCAUCCGUGGUCGGAAGAAGUCUGGAAAAGAUUCGGAGAAUAGUCGAUCACUAUAGAAAAUCGGCUGAUAGCGGAGUUCAGAGGAUGUUUGGAGCAACCCGAUAGAUGAAUGGAGAAGCUCAUUGUUGGAGAAGUCCGGAUGGUAUUAUGGAAGCUUGGACGAUCGUGGGAGUUCAGAAAGAUGCCACACAAGGUCGGAAGCUGGAAAAGCCCUGGAAGGGUCAGCCUUUUACAAACUUCGGCUGGGGAUAUUUUAUACCCAACACUUAGUAAGAGGAAAUCGCAUCCUGUAUAUUCUCAUUCCUAGAUGACUCAGAAAAAAUCUUUUGGCCAAA